This 404-nucleotide ribosomal RNA is filed under the name uncultured bacterium. RNAcentral describes it as "bacterial SSU rRNA". It matches the Rfam family "Bacterial small subunit ribosomal RNA", at positions 355 to 757 of the family's 1533-position model. The record is from RNAcentral.
UAAGGAAUAUUGGUCAAUGGACGCAAGUCUGAACCAGCCAUGCCGCGUGAAGGAUGAAGGUCCUCUGGAUUGUAAACUUCUUUUAUCUGGGACGAAAACGGGAUUUUUAUCUCAAUUGACGGUACCAGAGGAAUAAGCACCGGCUAACUCCGUGCCAGCAGCCGCGGUAAUACGGAGGGUGCGAGCGUUAUCCGGAUUUACUGUGUUUAAAGGGUGCGUAGGUGGGCUUAUAAGUCAGUGGUGAAAUCUCCGAGCUUAACUUGGAAACUGCCGUUGAUACUAUAGGUCUUGAAUUAUCUGGAGGUAAGCGGAAUAUGUCAUGUAGCGGUGAAAUGCUUAGAUAUGACAUAGAACACCAAUUGCGAAGGCAGCUUACUACAUAUAAAUUGACGCUGAGGCACGAA